CCCAGGGAGGACGGCCACUGGGUCGUGGUGGGGGUCACCUCCUGGGGGAAAGGUUGUGGCCGUAGCUGGAUCAACAACAAGGCCAAGUCGUCGGCCAAGAGAGGAUCCCCGGGGGUAUUCACUGACGUCAAGAUGCUCCUGCCCUGGAUCAAGAUGAAACUCAGAGAAGCAGAUGCUAACCCAAACCAAAGGCCCAACUCAAGACUGUGCAGUGUGAGGGAUGGGCUUGUGAGCGGUAGUGAGGGUCUCAUCAGAAACCCAAGCCUCUCAGGCCAUCUCUACAACAACAAUGAGUGGGUGUAAUCCAGUGACAGUGCACAGGCCCGUUGCAGACGGGGAGUGAGGGAGAGCUGUGCUGAACUGAAUGCGCUCAUUGAAUGCCCUUGAAUUAAGUAUGCUUUUAGGACUAUUUAUUUUCCGACCAAUUUGCCCUCACCACUCCCCGGCUGGCACAGAACAUUCUAACCACCAUAUGUUUCUUAGAGCUUGGUGAGAGGGGGAGUGGUUAUGGUUAUUUAGCAGACAACCUUCCCACAACUUUCUGGAAAUGUUGAAGCAUAGUUUCUUGGCUUUGGAACAUUCUCAGCACAUUUUUAUGAACUUGACAAAAAACAUAAUUGUCCUGCUAUUUAAAGGGAUACUUCAGGAUUUUGGCAAUGAGGCCCUUAAUCUA
Non-coding RNA from Oncorhynchus mykiss (rainbow trout), 673 nucleotides. Lineage: Eukaryota; Metazoa; Chordata; Actinopteri; Salmoniformes; Salmonidae. The record is from RefSeq and is a predicted model, not a curated record.